This 400-nucleotide ribosomal RNA is filed under the name uncultured bacterium. Its description in RNAcentral is "bacterial SSU rRNA". It matches the Rfam family "Bacterial small subunit ribosomal RNA", at positions 355 to 770 of the family's 1533-position model. The record is from RNAcentral.
UAGGGAAUCUUUCACAAUGGGCGAAAGCCUGAUGGAGCAACGCCGCGUGCAGGAUGACGGCCUUCGGGUUGUAAACUGCUUUUAUAUCCGAGAAAUAUGAUGGUAAGAUAUGAAUAAGGACCGGCUAACUACGUGCCAGCAGCCGCGGUCAUACGUAGGGUCCAAGCAUUAUCCGGAUUGACUGGGUGUAAAGAGUUGCGUAGGUGGCAGGGUAAGUAGAUAGUGAAAUCUGGUGGCUCAACCAUUCAGGCUAUUAUCUAAACUGCUCCGCUCGAGACUGUUAGGGGUGACUGGAAUUUCUAGUGUAGGAGUGAAAUCCGUAGAUAUUAGAAAGAACACCGAUAGCGUAGGCAGGUCACUGGGACAGUUCUGACACUAAGGCACGAAAGCGUGGGGAGCA